This 339-nucleotide long non-coding RNA is filed under the name Homo sapiens (human). Its description in RNAcentral is "non-protein coding lnc-LSM14B-4:1". Lineage: Eukaryota; Metazoa; Chordata; Mammalia; Primates; Hominidae. The record is from RNAcentral.
ACUAAAAUGGAACAUCAAUCCCUGUUCCCGUCGCAGGGCUGUCCCCGGCAGCCUUGCUGCCUUUUACUUGUCUCUGAGCCCAGCGAGCGUGGCCUUUUGUCUAUCUUUGCGAGGCUCUGGCCUCUCUUCCACGGGGCUUUCAGCCCAGCUGUGGCCUAGGAUGGAAGGCAGGAGACAAGGCUGCCCGUCCCACCUGCUCUUCUCCCAGCGCCUGGAGGCUCCAGAGUUCCACGCCCUCCCCUGGUGCCCCAGACUCCUGAGUCGCUCCGUCACUGUGAAGCACCAGGUGCCUGAACCCCAGAGGGAAGCCCAGGAAGCCUCCACAGGGGCGGUAGAAUG